GUGCUCGCUUCAGCAGCACAUACACUAAAAUUGGAACGAUACAGAGAUUAGCAUGGCCCCUGUGCAAGGAUGACAUGCAAAUUCGUGAAGUGUUCCAUAUUUUU
This 104-nucleotide small nuclear RNA is filed under the name Bison bison bison. The record is from RNAcentral. Lineage: Eukaryota; Metazoa; Chordata; Mammalia; Artiodactyla; Bovidae.